Pelobates cultripes (western spadefoot toad) is the source of this 238-nucleotide non-coding RNA. The record is from the annotation of a GenBank genome assembly. Lineage: Eukaryota; Metazoa; Chordata; Amphibia; Anura; Pelobatidae.
GUGGACAUGUUAUUUCCUUUACGCAAUCCAGAAAAGAAGCCUGCCUUAGUGCUUCAUUCUAAAAAUCAGCAAGCAGUGUGUGGUUUAUUUGACUUCGAAGCUUUGCUGAUGUGAUGUGCAUCGCGCUUCUUUGCAACAAUGUAUGUGGAAGCUGCAAAAAGCAGCAAGACAUAGAGAUGUAAACAUAUGACUCAUAGAUAGAUUAUGAGACUUGUUCAUGGCAAGGAUUCUGCAGGCC